This is a long non-coding RNA of Saccostrea cuccullata (small rock oyster), 710 nucleotides long. RefSeq lists it as uncharacterized. The transcript has 2 exons. The record is from RefSeq and is a predicted model, not a curated record. NCBI's taxonomy places the organism in Eukaryota, Metazoa, Mollusca, Bivalvia, Ostreida, Ostreidae.
ACAGACCUCGCAGGUUUAUGAAUUUUUUUAGACGCAUAAGAAAAAGAAAUCGUGUUAACGUUUACAUUGAAAGACCUGAUACAGAAGCAUGCCAAGCCCGUCCAGCAAGGAAAGGUCUGCUGAAUAGAAUGAGGGACGCGUGGUCAAGGAUCAAAAGAAUAGGAAGGAAUCGUGUACACCCUCAGACUCAAGAAUCCUCUGGUUCAUUACCUGAUGCAGAGUCAGAAAGCUUAUCUGAAUUAUCACUUACAGAAGGGAUAGUUCUGUCUAUUGAUAGAACGCCAUCCCUUAUUUCACUAGUAGAAAGUCCGGCCAGGACUUGUCUGAUUCCGUAUAACGAGGAACCCGACAAUGUGUUGAUAGCGUGUUUUGAUAGAGACUGAGCUUUCAGUGAAACUGUUUUGCCUUUUCCAAGAAAAGAAACCCUUGCAAUGCUGUCAUUCUUCAACCAAGGGAUCAAGGGAAAAACAUUUAUACAAACGAGCUGACCCCAUACUUUUACUUAGAAGUAUGCAUGUUGCUGGAAAGUGAAAAAAGGAAAUGUAUUAACUGACGGGAUGUGGGACCAUGUUGUAACUGUAGAAAAUGUCACAGUGCAGAUCGAAUGAAAACAUACACUUAAAAAUUACUUUUACUAUCAAGUUAUUCAUUUUAUCUGGUAUUAUUUCAUGUUUUGUUUUUGAAUUGAGCAAGUAAUAUUUUUUUCUUUG